GAUGAACGCUAGCUACAGGCUUAACACAUGCAAGUCGCGGGGCAGCAUGGGGGUUGCCUGCAACUCCCGAUGGCGACCGGCGCACGGGUGAGUAACGCGUAUCCAACCUGCCCUUCACCACGGGAUAACCCGGCGAAAGUCGGACUAAUACCGUAUGUUGUCCAUUGACGGCAUCCGAUUUGGACGAAAGGCUUUGCGGUGAAGGAUGGGGAUGCGUCCGAUUAGCCAGACGGCGGGGUAACGGCCCACCGUGGCUACGAUCGGUAGGGGUUCUGAGAGGAAGGUCCCCCACACUGGAACUGAGACACGGUCCAGACUCCUACGGGAGGCAGCAGUGAGGAAUAUUGGUCAAUGGGCGUAAGCCUGAACCAGCCAAGUAGCGUGCAGGAUGACGGCCCUAUGGGUUGUAAACUGCUUUUAUGCGGGGAUAAAGUGGCCCACGUGUGGGCUUUUGCAGGUACCGCAUGAAUAAGGACCGGCUAAUUCCGUG
This 490-nucleotide ribosomal RNA is filed under the name uncultured bacterium. RNAcentral's name for it is "partial 16S ribosomal RNA". It matches the Rfam family "Bacterial small subunit ribosomal RNA", at positions 28 to 507 of the family's 1533-position model. The record is from RNAcentral.